This is a long non-coding RNA of Homo sapiens (human), 593 nucleotides long. The record is from Ensembl. NCBI's taxonomy places the organism in Eukaryota, Metazoa, Chordata, Mammalia, Primates, Hominidae.
CUGCAUCCCAAAGAGCGUUGCUCCAGGCCUCCCAGUCUUCAUUAAACAUUUCUUAAAUCCUGCCCCAGCCCGCCGCGGGGCUUGUUUGCCAAAGCGCACCAGGUGCGUUGCGGCCUGAGCGGCCUGCAGUGGAGGGGCCGGGACUAUCGAAGAUUGCUUAAUCACUCAACAAGAUUUUAAAACGUGAUUGAAGACCGCCUACCUGUGAGGGCAGCGCCGACCAGGCUUUUCUUGCCCGCUAGUCCACGUAAUGCGGUCGCUAAGAAGCCCGCAGCAGGGUUUUCGCGUGACCUUCAUAGGGCCUGGCCAGGCCAGCUGAGGGGCGCGCCGGGCUGCGCUUCCAUCGAGGAACCUCCGCACAUGCAAUCACGGUUGUCUCGUCUUCUGGCAACCCUGGAUCUCCACAAACUGAUCUUCAGGGUGCUUCUCUCUUCAGCAGUUUUGCCUCAAGGGCAUGGCGCCUCAGCUAGUUUUUGGCUGUAAACAAACCGCGGCCACCGCCAGGCUACCGGGUUACCAGUACCUGUUCUUCGGAGUUUCUUAGGCAUAAACUAUAAGAACUACAAAUAAAGAUUUUCUGCUUCCUUAUUUCA